RNAcentral lists this ribosomal RNA (491 nucleotides) under uncultured bacterium. RNAcentral's name for it is "bacterial SSU rRNA". It matches the Rfam family "Bacterial small subunit ribosomal RNA", at positions 29 to 500 of the family's 1533-position model. The record is from RNAcentral.
AACGAACGUUAGCGGCGCGCUUAACACAUGCAAGUCGAACGAGAAAGGGCUUCGGCCCCGGUACAGUGGCGCACGGGUGAGUAACACGUAGGUAACCUGCCCUUGAGUGGUGGAUAACAUUCCGAAAGGAGUGCUAAUACAGCAUAAGACCACGGUUCCAUCAAGGAACAGGGGUCAAAGCGGGCCUCUUCAUGAAAGCUCGCGCUUGGGGAUGGGCCUGCGGCGCAUCAGCUAGUUGGUGAGGUAAUGGCUCACCAAGGCUAAGACGCGUAGCUGGUCUGAGAGGAUGAUCAGCUACACUGGAACUGAGACACGGUCCAGACUCCUACGGGAGGCAGCAGUGGGGAAUUUUGCGCAAUGGGCGAAAGCCUGACGCAGCGACGCCGCGUGGGUGAUGAAGGCCCUCGGGUUGUAAAGCCCUGUGGGAGGGAUGAAUAAGGUAUGGCUAAUACCUAUACUGAUGACAGUACCUCCUUAGCAAGCACGGCUAA